This 213-nucleotide long non-coding RNA is filed under the name Ananas comosus (pineapple). RNAcentral describes it as "long non-coding RNA (ACOM_LNC014561)". The record is from RNAcentral. Lineage: Eukaryota; Viridiplantae; Streptophyta; Magnoliopsida; Poales; Bromeliaceae.
CAUUUUCUUAAUAUUUUGCCUUUAAAAAUUUGCAAAUUUACCAACCGUCCCUAAAGCAAGUGACGAAGAACUUGGUGGUUGAUAUCGGAGACCCAAAUUCGAAUCCUAGUUGAUUCAUAUUUUCAGCUAAGUUUAUUUUUAAAUGAAAUAAACGAAGCGGAUAACGUGCUACCUAUCUCUCUCUCUCAAAAAAAAAAAGCAAAUUUGUAUCUU